RNAcentral lists this long non-coding RNA (1205 nucleotides) under Pogona vitticeps (central bearded dragon). RNAcentral describes it as "lncRNA (ENSPVIG00000021611.1)". Lineage: Eukaryota; Metazoa; Chordata; Lepidosauria; Squamata; Agamidae. The record is from RNAcentral.
UGGGUGCCACGUCAUUUCUGGGAAAGCAGCCAAGGGCAGACUGGCAUCAGAAGAGCCACGAGAAGAGAGAACGAGAAGAGUGAGAGGAGAGGCAUGCCUGGCUUGCUCUGGGGAACAUAGAUGGGACUUUUGCUGUAUAUUCCUCUUUGUCGGCACAGUCCAUUUGCAAACCGCAGAAGACCUUAUGUGGCUGAGUUCUAAUUAAAGGAAGCAAGUUGAAAUUCUCUUGAAGGCCCAGUGACUGACAUACUGGAUUGUGUCCAAUUAACCCUUCCAAAAGAAAAGACAUCUCCAUCCCCUCUGCGGUGCUUUGUUAAGCCGUCAGAAUCUGCUCUGCACUGUUGGCGAAUUUUCUGCAUGGGCAUCCCAGGGAUGGGCCCUUGUGUCACAAUUGCAAAAUAAUUAGUAUACUAUGUAUAUUCACACAUAGUACACACACAUACACGUAAUGGGCACAAGUUAGUGUAAAUUUACACCAGUAGAAGCUGAUGACAUCAGCAGUUGGCACUGUUAAAAUUUAAUUAAAAUUAAUUACAGUGGUACGUCGACUUACGAACCUAAUCUGUACUGGAAUUAAGUUCGUACGUCGAAAAGUUUGUAAGUUGAGGCAAACUUUUCCAUUGGAAUGCAUUGAAAACCAUUUAAUCUGUAUCUGCUGUUUUCCGUUUGUAGGUUGAGGCGCUGUUCAUAGGUAGAGGCAUUAGUUCCCAUAGGAACUAAUGCAAAACCGGUUAAUCCGUACUCCACCACUGGGGGGGGGGAAUUUUUUUCUUCUUUUGACCUAAGGUGAACUUUCUUCUUUUGACCUAAGGAGGAAAGGGUUUUUUCUCUUUUUUGUUCGUAAGUGGAGGCUCUGUUCGGAAGUCGAAGCAACUUUUUGCAAACAGAGCCGUUCGUAACUCGAAUCGUUCACAAUUAGGGAUGUUUGUAAGUCGAGGUUCCACUGUAAAAGCUUUCUCUUCCCCUGUUUUACCUUCCAAGGCUCCCUAGGGCCCCCUUCUGCCUGGGGAAGCCUUUGGGUGCCACAGGAUGGGGGAAGACUUUUAAAUUUUUCAAAAUCACCAUUAGGUCACUGCUGCCAGAGUCAGGACUGCCACUAGCAAUCCAGCAUCAAUUUUGGUGAUAAAGGGCUCCCUCUGCCAUUCAACAUCCAGAGGUUUGUAAAGCCUUCUCCAGAGCAGAAGGAAGCCCUAAGAAGCUUCAAA